Molecule: ribosomal RNA, 492 nt
Filed under: uncultured bacterium
Lineage: Bacteria
Description: partial 16S ribosomal RNA
Rfam family: Bacterial small subunit ribosomal RNA
Source: RNAcentral
AGUGAACGCUGGCGGUAGGCCUAACACAUGCAAGUCGAACGGCAGCACAGUAAGAGCUUGCUCUUACGGUUGGGGAGUGGCGGACGGGUGGGGAAUAAAUCGGAAUCUACUUUUUCGUGGGGGAUAACGAAGGGAACCAUACGCUAAUACCGCAUACGACCUACGGGUGAAAGCAGGGGAUCUUCGGAGCUUGCGCGUGUGAAUGAGCCGAAGUCGGAUUAGCUAGUUGGAGGGGUAAAGGCCCACCGAGGCGAGGAUCCGUAGCCGGUGUGUGAGGAUGUUCCUCCACACUGGAACUGAGACGCGGUCCAGGCUCCUACGGGAGGCCGCAGUGCGGAAUAUUGGACGAUGGGCGCAAUCCUGCUCCAGCCAUACCGCGUGGGUGCAGCAGGCCUUCGUGUUGUAAAGCCCUUUUGUUGUUAUAGAACACCAGCACGUUUAUCCCCCGCUGUUCUGACGGUACCCAAUGAAUAAGCACCGGCUAACUUCGUG